GGAAUAUAAGAACCCGUCUUUUAAUUUUUAACUAAAAAAAAACUAAGAACCGGUUUUUAAAUAAGAGUUUUAAGAGCUGGUUCUUAACUUUUUUAGUUAAAAGUUAAAAGACGGGUUCUUAUAUUCC
Brassica oleracea var. oleracea is the source of this 127-nucleotide microRNA precursor. It matches the Rfam family "MIR9563 microRNA precursor family". The record is from Rfam. Lineage: Eukaryota; Viridiplantae; Streptophyta; Magnoliopsida; Brassicales; Brassicaceae.